RNAcentral lists this ribosomal RNA (446 nucleotides) under uncultured bacterium. RNAcentral describes it as "bacterial SSU rRNA". It matches the Rfam family "Bacterial small subunit ribosomal RNA", at positions 330 to 793 of the family's 1533-position model. The record is from RNAcentral.
GCCAGACUCCUACGGGAGGCAGCAGUGGGGAAUAUUGCACAAUGGGGGAAACCCUGAUGCAGCGACGCCGCGUGAGUGAAGAAGUAUUUCGGUAUGUAAAGCUCUAUCAGCAGGGAAGAAAAUGACGGUACCUGACUAAGAAGCCCCGGCUAACUACGUGCCAGCAGCCGCGGUAAUACGUAGGGGGCAAGCGUUAUCCGGAUUUACUGGGUGUAAAGGGAGCGUAGACGGCAUGGCAAGUCAGAUGUGAAAGCCCGGGGCUCAACCCCGGGACUGCUCUUGGAACUGCGUGGCUGGAGUGCAGGAGGGGCAGGCGGAAUUCCUGGUGUAGCGGUGAAAUGCGUAGAUAUCAGGAGGAACACCGGUGGCGAAGGCGGCCUGCUGGACUGCAACUGACGUUGAGGCCCGAAAGCGUGGGGAGCAAACAGGAUUAGAUACCCCGGUAC